Molecule: ribosomal RNA, 253 nt
Filed under: uncultured bacterium
Lineage: Bacteria
Description: partial 16S ribosomal RNA
Rfam family: Bacterial small subunit ribosomal RNA
Source: RNAcentral
UACGAGGGGGGCUAGCGUUGCUCGGAAUCACUGGGCGUAAAGCGCACGUAGGCGGAUCUUUAAGUCAGGGGUGAAAUCCUGGAGCUCAACUCCAGAACUGCCUUUGAUACUGGGGAUCUCGAGUCCGGAAGAGGUGAGUGGAACUCCGAGUGUAGAGGUGAAAUUCGUAGAUAUUCGGAAGAACACCAGUGGCGAAGGCGGCUCACUGGUCCGGUACUGACGCUGAGGUGCGAAAGCGUGGGGAGCGAACAGG